UAAACCAGUCGCAUCAAAGCAAAUAUGAGCGUGACAUUAGAACCAACAACGCAUAAUACCAAUGGUACAAACCAUUGCUGCGCUGCUACUCGUCAUUCUUCAGAUGCUGCUGGAGCUAGGAAUACAUUCUCAAUUCAACUAGGAAUCAACAGAUCAAGAGCAUACAAGAGCUACAGGUAACUCUUUUUUUUUGCGGGGAGAGCUACAGCUAACUUUUUCUUUUUGCGGGGAGAGCUACAACUAACUUACAGUACUAGAAUAAAAGACAAGGCCAUCAUCAACUCAUAUCAUCAUCAGAAGAUAAACUCCGGACUGUUGCUGGAUCGAAUUCAUCAGAGUCGCUGUCCUCAUAAUAUAAGGGAGGUUCUACAUCUUCCCUGCCCAUAUCGUAUAUCCCUUUUAACGGGUGCCUCAAUACACCCAUUCCUUGGUUCUCACAGGCAUAACAUUCACCUGGCAAAGUAAAUCACAAUGUUAGAAUCUUUUUAGGUCACUACAAAUCAUAAGGUGAAAAGUUUCCAUACCAUAUUGAUCUUCCUCCAAAGGAUAACAGGCAUAGAGUUUUAUCAUACAUAUCGAUUUGACCUCGGCGAAGUACAUCGCCGACAUCCAAUCAGCUGAGCCAGGCUUCUUUAUCUUGACAGUAAAGUUGAAGUGAUGGAAUAUCGUUAAAUAAUCCUCCAUAUUAAAACAUUGAUGGACAAGCUCGUCAAAUUCAUAAUCAAGUCCCUAAGAUGAAACAAGUGUUAGUCAUAGUUCUCUAUAGUCCCAACAAUAAAAAGCAUUUUAGAGCAGACGUGGAGAACCUUAAGAUCAUCUUUGCUCUCAAUGUACUUGUGAAAGCCACCAUCGCCUCCUCGCUCAUCCAUCGUUUCGCAUUUGCAGCAAUUUCUUCUUCCUUAGAAGCGUAAGUAUGUUGUCCCCGUGCUUGGACUGAUUGAGUUUGUUUUCCAACUUUCAUGUUUGCAUAUUCUUUGUUAGUUUCAAAGUCGAGUGGGCAAUAUCCUUGUGCUUGGAAAAAUUGAGCUCGUUCUUCAGCUUGUCUUCUCUCAAAUUUUAUAUCACCUUGAUGGUCGAGUGGAUAAAAUCCUCCAAAUAUCUCCUGCCUAGACAGAAAUAUAAGAAUCCGUCAGCAAAACAUGGUUAAUAAUGUAAUCUAGAUAGAUAUACAAGAAAGUUCACGUAGUGAUACAACAUGGGACAAGAUGCAAUAAACUGAUUCUCAAUUUAAUUAAACUUGCAUUAAUAGACUAUAAGCACUCUUUGCUUAGAUCUAGGAGAAAAGUCAUGUAAUAAGCCUUGCCUUAUUCACUAUGAACCUUUGAUUAUAGUAUUUGUGUAUGGAUAUAAGACAGGUUCACUACGUGGGGUUCACUAACCAGGUUCUAGAAAUACGGAUGAUGUGGGGUUCACUAUGCGUGGCAACUGAGCUAAUCUGCAUUAUGACAUGCGAAAGACAAUCGCAUAGCUCCAUUUAAAGCUAUUUGUUGACCUAAAGAAACAUAACAGCAACAACUUUUUUCUGAAUAUCAGUAUGCAUCAUUAUGAAAUUAUGAAUCGACUGUUUCAGCAUGUAUCACCACCCUAGGCCAAACAAUUUACAUCCAUGCUUUAGUCAACGUCUACUGUGACUAAAUUUGAAGCUUGAAAGUCCUAAGGAAAACAGAUAUCAGUAAUCGAUCUUCAAUGCACGAGGAAAGUGUGUAUGCUGAGAAGAAGUUGUUUGAAUCAAACGAAUUAUCCACAAAUUCUUGCUACAAUUGUUUACAUAAUUCAUUUUCCAUCAUAAUCUCAUAAUCGUGGUGGCAUCCUCACCACCUCAAGGAGAAGGUAACCAAAUCUAUCAGAUAUGGAUACAUGCCACCAGUCUCAGGAGAGAACAACCAUGCUAGGGUGAGAUUGUUACCAAACACACCCAACAAGUACCCAUUGUACAACCAUAUGGGCCAUUAGUGCAGCCAUACGGGUCAUAAAAAGUACCCAACAUUUCAACAAACCAGUUGUUAACUUACGAAAGGAAGGACAAAAUAAAGAUGGACAUACCCCUCAGCUGAUUCAAGUGUGUGAGAUGUGUCAUUCAGCGUCAGGGUCUCAAGCUCACGGCUGCUCACCUCCUCCACACGCUCCGGGACCCUGAUCAAAACAAGCACGAUGAUGUGUGAGGUGACUAUUACGACGAAGAUGUAGAAACAUAGCUAGGAUUUGUUGGCCUUUUCUGUUUUUCUCAUGAGAAAUACAAUGCAACAAAUUUAAUUUGACCAACCAAAACAGGGACUAGCCCCUGUGGCAUAUUGAUUCAGAGGAAACAACCCAGGUGCACACAUUUGCGGGGCCCAACAAUGGAACCCAGAUGGCAGGCUGGGUGCAAAGCUGAGCACAGCCAACUGGUUGUAGUUGACAACCAGUUCCUGUAUAAACAAAAACUACAACCAUAUAGUAUAUCAAAAUAAACAACUACUCCCUCCAUUCCCAAAUACAAGUCUUUUUAGAGAUACCGAUAAAAGACUACAUACGGAGCAAAAUGAGUGAAUCUACAUUCUAAACUACGUCUAUAUACAUUCGUAUGUACUCCCUCCGUUUCGAAAUAAUUGUCUUUUUAGAGAUUUCAACAAAUAACUAUAUACAGAGCAAAAUGAAUGAAUCUACACUCUAAAACAUGUCUACAUACAUCCGUAUGUUGUAGUCCAUUUGAGAUGGCUAGAAAGACAAUUAUUUCGGAACGGAGGGAGUAGUUCAUAGUAAAAUCUUUACAAAGACUUAGGAAGUAGUACAAAACUGACUCACCGCCAACAAUAGUUUUUGACAGAGAUACAUGUCUGUGAAAAAAUAAGACUCCCAAGGAGCCGAUACGAUCAGCACGUCCCUGGGACUGGGACGCAAUUAAACUUGAGGCCACUAUCUCACUGUUGAUUGAGCCAGUUCACAAAGUAAAAGAAAAUAAACAAUGGCAGGGAGGUGAAGGCGGGGGGGAGAAUCUGACCGAGUUCCAGUUUCACUCGAACUGGAAGCCGGAGAGCCGGCGGGAGGUGAAGGGGAUCGGUCGCCGGCCAUCGCGAGGAGCCGGCGGAGGACAAGACAAUAGGAGAAAGGAGUUUUUUUUUUUUUUGAGGUGAAGGAGAAAGGAGUUAUGCGAAACUUGGUUUGGGUCUCUCCCGCAAUUUAGGCGAUGCGCACUUUUCAUUUUGCUUUCUAGGGUGCCGAGGAGACCUCCUAUUCCACGCGUAACAGACUCGGAAACGUAGUCUCAAAAAAAAAAAGACUAGGAAACGUGCACCUCAGCGUAGGGACGGGUGUUGGGCCUCAAUCUCUGGCCCACCUCCGUUUCUUUCGUUCGCUGGACUAUCUCGUGUGUGAGCAAAACAAAAAUCGAAUUUCUUGUAACAUCAGUUGAAAUGUCAAGAAAAAAGCAUAUUUUUUCGCAAAUAAGGUUCUGGAUUUAUAUUGAAAAUUUCCAACGAUGGAAGACAUCUGAAAAAACAAGAUUUUUUUUAUUUUCGGCUGAAAAAAAGUUACAACAAGGUUCUAACAAAGCCAAGCAAAACUCAAUCUCCAGAAGCCGAAGGUGAGCCGUUGCUGCCGCUCCAUCACUGAAGCCGGCCUGAUACUGUAUCCUACCAUCGGCGGGAAAAUCUUCGUGCUAAAGUUCAGUUGGAACAAUGCUCUGGAGAAAAAGCCAACAUCAUAGGAGCCUUGCAAUUCAACAAUGCUCUGCUCGUUUAAAUCUUAUCAAGUUCAAAGUAGCAGACUGUCUAGCUACAGGUGGUGCACAACCAGGCCAUGCGACCACUGUAAACCUACUGGUUUCGCCAGUUGCUUUGGUGAACGGAAUGCCAAUUAUACAAAAAAAAGGUAAAUAAGAACUUGCAGUUCACCAACCGUGACAGCAAGAAUUUAAAGCAGAGUAAACCAGUCGCAUCAAAGCAAAUACGAGCGUGACAUUAGAACCAACAACGCGUAUAAUACUAGUGUGACAAAACAUUGCUGCGCUGCUACUCGACAUUCUUCAGAUGCUGCUGGAGCUAGGAAUGCAUUCUCAAAUCAACUAGGAAUCAAUAGAUCAAGAGCAUACAAGAGCUACAGCUAACUUACAGUACUAGAAUAAAGACCAAGGCCAUCAUCAACUCAUAUCCUCAUCAGAAGAUUCACUCCCUCCCGUUGUUGGAUCGAAUACAUCAGAGUCGCUGUCCUCACAAUAGAAGGGAAAUUGUAUAUCUUCCCUGCCCAUAUCAUAUAUCCCUUUUAAUGGGUGCCUCAAUACACCCAUUCCUUGCUUCUUACAUGCAUAACAUUCACCUGCCAAAGUAAAUCACAAUGUUAGAAUCUUUUUAGGUCACUACAAGUCAUAAGGUGAAAAUUUUCCAUACCAUAUCGAUCUUGCUCCAAAGGAUAACAGGCAUAUAGUUUUAUCAUACAUAUUGAUUUGACCUCGGCGAAGUACAUCACCGAUGUCCAAUCAACUAAGCCAGGCUUCUUUAUCUUGACAGUAAAGUUGAAGUGAUGAAAUAUCUUUAAAUAAUUCUCCACACUAAAACAUUGAUGGACAAGCUCGUCAAAUUCAUAAUCAACUCCCUAAGAUGAAACAAAUGUUAGUCAUAGUUCUCUACGUCCCAACAAUAAAGAGGAUUUCAGGGCGGGCGUGGAGAACCUUAAGAUCAUCUUUGCUCUCAAUGUAUCUUUUGAAAGCCACCAUCGCCUCCUCGCUCAUCCAUCGUUUCGCAUUUGCAGCAAUUUCUUCUUUCUUAGAAGCAUAAGUAUGUUGUCCUCGUGCUUGGACUGAUUGGGUUUGUUUUUCAACUUGCAUGUCUGCAUAUUCUCUAAUAGUUUCAAAGUCGAGUGGCCAAUAUCCUUGUGCUUGGAAAAAUUGAGCUCGUUCUUCAUCUUGUCUAAUCUCAAAAUCUAUAUCACCUUCAUGGUCAAGUGGAUAAAAUUCUCCAAUUAUCCCCUGCCUGGAUAGAAAUAUCAGAAUCCGGUCAGCAAAACAUGGUUCAUAAUGUGGUCUAGAUAGAUAUACGAGACAACAUGGGACAAGAUGUAAUAAACUGAUUCUCAAUUUAAUUAAAAUUGCAUUAAUAAACAAAGCACUCUUUGCUUAGAUAUAGGAGAGAAGUCUUGUAAUAAACCGAGCUUGCUUUAUUCACUUUGAACCAAAGCACUGUUUGCUUAGAUAUAGGAGAGAAGUCUUGUAAUAAACCUUGCUUUAUUCACUUUGAACCUUUGAUUAUAGUAUUCUUGUAUGGAUAUAAUACAAGUUCACUACACGGAGUUUACUAACCAGGUUCUAGAAAUACAGAUGAUGUGGGGUUCACUAUGCCUAUCAACUGAGCUAUUCUGAAUUAUGACAUGCGGAAGACGAUCACAUAGCUCCAAUUAAAGCUAUUUGUUGACCUAAAGAAACAUAACAACACGACCGUUUUCAGAAUAUCAGUAUGCAUCAUAUGAAAUUAUGAAUCGACUGUUUCAGCAUGCAUCACCACCCUAGGUCACAAUUGAUUUACCUCCAUGCUUUAGUCAAUGUCAAACAAUUUGCUACCUAUUAGUGCAACCAUACGGGUCAUAAAAAGUACCCAAAACAAACAAUUAUUAACUUACGAAAAGGAAGGACAAAAUAAAGAUGGACAUACUCGUCAGCUGAUUCAAGUGUGUGAGGUGUGUCGUUCAGCGUGAGGGUCUCAAACUUAGACAGAUCCUUGCUUGCACCCCCAAGCUCAAUGCUGCUCACCUCCUCGACAUGCUCCCGAGCCCUGAUGAAAACAAGCACGAUAAUGUGUCAGUGACUAUUAUGGUGAGGGUGGUGGAAAUAUAGCUAGGAUUUGUUGGCAUUAUCUGUUUUUUUCCAUGAGAAGGACAGGGCAACAAAAUAGUUAAUACACUGUGAUUUCAAACGGAUAUUGAACACACAGAUUGAUUCGCCACACACUCGUAUUUGCUUUGAUGUGACUGGUUUACUCUGCUUUGAAUACUCCCUGGGACCGAGGCUGUGUCUCACCGUUGAUUGAGCUAGUUCACAAACUAAAAGAAAACAAACAAUGGCAGGGAGGUGAGGGGGAGGGAAUCUCACCCAGUUUCAUUUUCGUUCGAAGAGGACGCCGGAGAGCCGGCGGGAGGUGAAGGGGGUCGGCCGCCGGCCAUCGCGAGGAGCCGGCGGAGGACAACCUAGGAGAAAGGAGUUAUGCGGUGAAACUUUGGUUGGGUCUCUCCAGCAAUUUAGGCGAUGAACACUUUUUGUUUUGUUUUCUAACUAUAGGGAGGNNNNNNNNNNNNNNNNNNNNNNNNNNNNNNNNNNNNNNNNNNNNNNNNNNNNNNNNNNNNNNNNNNNNNNNNNNNNNNNNNNNNNNNNNNNNNNNNNNNNNNNNNNNNNNNNNNNNNNNNNNNNNNNNNNNNNNNNNNNNNNNNNNNNNNAGCCUAGCGACGGAUGUUGGGCUUCAAUCGCUGGCCCACCUCGGUUUCUUUCGUUCGCUUCGCUGGACUGUCUGUGUGUGAGAAAAAAAAAACGAAUUUCUUGUUCUUUUUAACAUGGUAUAUAUACUCAGACGGUUAUACAUACACAUAUAUUCACCCCUAUAAUCAUACACACGCACACCCUAUCCCUAUUUUUAUAUUGUGAUCCAAAUUCAAGUAAUCCCUCUGUUCCCAUAAUGUAGUGCAUUUUUUUUUUCAAAUAUCAAACCUCCCAAACUUUGUCCAAGUUCAUGGAGAAAAAUAUUUACAAUUAGAAUGUCAAAUAUAUAUAUCAUUAGAUUCAUCACAAGAUGUUGUUUCAUAUUUCAUAAAUUUGGUAUUGUAGAUUAAAUAUUUUUCUCUAUAACUUGAUCAAAGUUUACGAAGUUUGACAUUUUAAAAAAUAUAUAUGCACUACAUUAUGGAACAGAGGGAGUAUAAAGAUAAAGACAACUUCUGACGAGCGAGCGGAGUUAGGCCCCUCGUUGGUAGGCUUGGGCCGAUGGAUCAGUAUUGACCUAGAUCACAUGUGUUAUAUAUAUAUAUAUAUAUCCUUUGUAAGCCGUCGGACGGGAUAAGUUGAGCAGUUGUAAAUCCUAUGCGUUUCUAAGGGCAUCUCCAACGGCGGCCCACAAAUUUUCUUCCUCAUCCAUCUGCUGGCAAGGGGGGGGGGGGGCAGUUCGCGGACACAGUUGCGGGAGGCCACCAGCCAACACUGCCCGCAUACAUUUAACCACUCUUUGAACUAACCAGACAAAAUACAUGCAAACACGGCGGAUUUCAUACGAAUGGGACGAAAUUCAUUAUAUUUUGGACAUAUUUUUAACUUAAAAUGAUACUGGACUAAGAUAAAAACUAGUCUACGGCCGGUGCAGGCGGAUAUCCAUUCCGACGACAUGGAUACCUUUGACUAAUCCAUGGCCAGCCACGACGGAUCUUCAUUGUCGUCCCCCUGCCCAGUAGGGGCGAGCCACGAAGGUAUAUGCUUCAGCACAAAGGGCGACUGGCUUCCCCACGGCUCAUCGAAGUAGAACCGCCGGUUGAUGCUUUAGCCGGAGAGGAAGGGUGCCUAUGCUGCCCAGAUCAGAGUUGGUUUUGGGGAAAGGGGCGACGGUGGCCUUCGAGAGGGCAAGACACCGGCGUCGCCUCGGCGGUGGCCUCCCGUGUUCUACUUCUCCUCGAUGAUGGCGGCGGCCACGGGCGUGCUGGGCGUCGUCUCGUCAAUGUCCACAUAGCCGGCUUCUUUCUUCACGCGCGGAUAUCCAUUCUGAUGACAUGGAUACCUUUGACUAAUCUACGACCAGCCACGGCGGAUCUCCAUUGUCCUUCCCCUGCCCAGCAGGCAUGAGCCACGAAGGUAUAUGCUUCAGCACAAAGGGCGGAUGGCUUCCCCACGGCUCAUCGAAGUAGAACCGCUAGCUGAUGCUUUAGCCGGAUCAGACUUGGUUUUGGGGUAGGGACGACGAUGGCCUUCGAGAGGGCAAGACAUCGGCGUCGCCUCGGCGGUGGCCUUCAUGGGACCCAAGCGGCGGUGGCCUCCCGUGUUACUUCUCCUUGAUGAUGGCGGCGGCCGUGGGCGUUCUGGGCAUCGUCUCGUCAAUGUCUGCGUAGCCGGCUUCUUUCUCCAUCGGUAGGGCGCGGUUACGCGCGCGUUGACGAUGGAUGGAGGGAUCGCAGGCACGGGAGGCACCGUACGACACGACGUCAUCCACGACAGCCAAGAUGUUCGUGCUGCCAUCCCCCACCCCUCCUGCCGGCCUGGAGCAACUCGCCACUCCUCGGCAAGCUGAACCACGCGCCGGCGUGGAGCUUCAGCCUCCGCGAGCUGGCCUGCAACGGCCUGGAACGCCGAUGGAGGUGGAACAGACAGUUGGCUGGCUCGCCAGCUUUUAUGUUGGAGAAUUUUUCUUCCUACUAGCAAGAUGCCCGUGCGUUGCACGGAACAUUAAGAUCUUGUGGGAGAAAAGGAUGAACAAGGGAAGGUAUUAUCUGCAAAUGUGGAGAGGAGUGCAGGUAAAUUGUCAUAGUUUCCUUCCUAUCCCUUAGAUAUAGAUCGGACAGUCUAUAUUGCAGGAUGGCAGGCACACCAUCAUCACCAACUCUGCUUUUUAUAAGAGUAGAGACUCGUCGGAUGCCAUGGAGGAAAAUGUUAAAGGAGGAAAUGGAGAGCGAAGGUGUGGUGCGGUUCUUGUCGGGCGUCUCGCACCGUUUAAAUAGCGAGCGGAUGUGAGGAGCCAACCGACUUGUGAAUAAUGAUGGCCACCUCGAGAACGGACGUGUGACCGAAGUAGGUAUCUCAUCACACGGGUGGGUUAAUAGAGGACAGUGGGCAGACUUCAGCCAUUUGGAUGCGACGAGGAGGCGUGCUCACCUGAGCGUGCAGCAGGCGGCGCCCUCGACCGGCGUGCCGUUUCAAUGGUAGAGGCAGUGAGAGGUUGCGUACGCUCUGAUCCGGCUUCAAUGUGAAGCGGCCGCUCUACAACGGCAUAAAUGCGUGCAGCUGGCACCAGACGGGAACACGCGCUGGCAAGGUAUAGGGGGUUGGGGUGGGAUCAGGAUGGUCUGAAGCGGGCGUCAGUGUUGUCCAGACGCCCGCAAAGCCCCCCAUAUUUGUCUCCGGAUUACGGGAGAAAACACGUCCGGAUCGCUAGGCGGAUCGACACAUACCUUCUACGAUCUGGGGUUUUCCACGUUAAAUCCUCGUGUCUCAUGUGUUGAUUUUGACCUUCGUCAUUUGAUUUGCUUGUCGUACCUCUAACACCUGCUCCACCAAAGAUGCCCCCGUGCUGUGGAACUGUGGCGAGCCAUGGAGAAACAUUGGAGCUUGCCGGACCUAAAUUCUGUAAGGCCGACGGGUAUUGAGUGGCUGUUCGACGUGUUGUACCCCAUGCAGGCUGAUGAUCGCGUGACGGUCCUUAUGGUGUUGUGGCACGCUUGGCAUAUCAGCAAUGAAAUCGUCCAUGAGAAGAGGCCUCCCCCAGUGGAGGUAUCAUACCGGUUUCUGCUCAGCAAUGAAGCAUCCCUGGCUGCUAUCCAGCGAAACCCGGACGGUAAUCACAUGAAGGGCAAGAUGGUGCUUGCGCCCGCUGCAAGGAUGGCACCGGCAAGGCAUCAGGAGAACGCACCAGUGCCAGACAGCAUGUGGCAGGCCCAGCUCCUGGGCGUGUUAAACUGAACGUCGACGGUUCCUACUGCCCCGCCUCUGGUGGUGCGGGUGCAGGCAUGAUCUUGAGGGACAGCAAUGGAGCGAUCAUUUUUCCGGCAUGCAGAAACCUUCUCUUCUAUGCAGAUCCCUUGCAAGCAGAGUUGGUGGCUUGUCUCGAGGGCCUCAAUUUUGCUAUGCAAUGGUCUCCUUUGCCUGUGGACGUGGAGAUGGACAGCCUGAUUGCUGUGCAGGCUAUCCAGUCAAUGACUGAUGAUAAAUCGCAACAUGCGAUGAUGAUUACUGAAGCUAAGAGACUUCUUGGUGAAAGGGGAAGCUCAAUUGCUCAUAUUAGUAGGAGACAAAACCGUGUUGGGCAUAGACUAGGUGAAUUUGGUCGAGUAGAAGCUAGGACUGCCGUAUGGUUAAAAUCAGGACCUGCUAAUGUACUGGAACUUUGUAUGGAGGAUCUUCCUCCAAGUUGAGCAAUGAAAUUCCUUUUGACCCCGCAAAAAAAAGGUUCUAAAUUUUAUAUUCAAAAUUUCCGACGAUAAAAGACAUCUGAAAAAAAUUUACAACCAGAUUCUAACAAAACCAAGCAAAACUCAAUCUCCACAAAAAUGGACUAUAUGUCACUACAGGCGCGGAACGUCCUCUGCAAUGGUAGAAUCAGAUUCUACUACUCAGGUGCAGGCUGUUAACAGAGAAGGAUAUGACCGGUCAGGUAGAUUGACUUCUUUGCUCGUUUAAAUCUUGUCAAGUUCAAAGUAGCAGACGGUCAGGUAGAAUCGGAUUCUACUACUCUGGCUGCAGGUGGUGCACAACCAGGCCAUGCCGCCACUGCAAUUCUGCAAACCUGCUGGUUUGGCCGUUUGCUUGGCCAAUUAUACCCAAAAAAGAAGGUAAAUAAGAACUUGCAGUUCACCGACUGUGACAGCAACAAUUUAAAGCAGAGUAAACCAGUCGCAUCAAAGCAAAUACGAGCGUGACAUUAGAACCAACAACACAUAAUACCAGUGUUACAAACCAUUGCUGCGCUGCUACUCGACAUUCUUCAGAUGCUGCUGGAGCUAGGAAUACAUUCUUAAAUCAACUAGGAAUCAACAGAUCAAGUGCAUACAAGAGCUACAGCUAACUUCUUUUCUUUUUUUUCUUUUUUUUUGAGGGGAGAGCUACAGCUAACUUACAGUACUAGAAUAAAGGACAAGGCCAUCAUCAACUCAUAUCAUCAUCAGAAGAUAAACUCCGGACUGUUGCUGGAUCGAAUUCAUCAGAGUCGCUGUCCUCAUAAUAGAAGGGAGGUUCUACAUCUUCCCUGCCCAUAUCGUAUAUCCCUUUUAACGGGUGCCUCAAUACACCCAUUCCUUGGUUCUCACAGGCAUAACUUUCACC
This 10972-nucleotide long non-coding RNA is filed under the name Triticum aestivum (bread wheat). Its description in RNAcentral is "long non-coding RNA (TAES_LNC016495)". Lineage: Eukaryota; Viridiplantae; Streptophyta; Magnoliopsida; Poales; Poaceae. The record is from RNAcentral.